RNAcentral lists this long non-coding RNA (513 nucleotides) under Mytilus galloprovincialis (Mediterranean mussel). The record is from RNAcentral. Lineage: Eukaryota; Metazoa; Mollusca; Bivalvia; Mytilida; Mytilidae.
AACCGUAUAAGAAACCGAUAAAUUCAUUAUCUUGUUAUAUCCUCUUGAUGAAUUGAUUAUGAUCCUUAGUCCAAAAAGAUGAAAAUUAGGUCAAGGUCAAAGGUCAAGGUCAUAUUCUUAAUUUUGAGUUUGGCUUAUUUUCACUCAUUUUCAUUAACAUUAUAAGAUAUUGACAGAUUAUUUUUACUAACAUUGUUAGUUGUGACAUGUCGUAAUUUAUACAUUUUGGUUGAAAGGGUGCGUAGACAAUACAUGGGCAUUUUGCCCCUCUUAUAUUGAGAAUUAUGCGUAAAGUGAAAUUACUAAUUAACCAUACAUAUUAAGGAACUAGUGUCUUUUGAUUUGAGAUCCUUAGUUUAUGACCUUGAAAUUAAGGUCAAGGUCAUAUGUUAAUUGGACGUUCUAGAUUUUUACCUUUGCUCCAAAUUCAUAUGUAGACAUCAGUAAGCCAUAAGAACUGACAUACGAACUGAAUUUUUAAUAUUUCCACAUCAAAAUAUAUUGUUAGUGGUG